Molecule: ribosomal RNA, 253 nt
Filed under: uncultured bacterium
Lineage: Bacteria
Description: partial 16S ribosomal RNA
Rfam family: Bacterial small subunit ribosomal RNA
Source: RNAcentral
GACGUAGGGCGCGAGCGUUGUCCGGAUUUAUUGGGCGUAAAGAGCUCGUAGGCGGCUCGUUGCGUCGGCUGUGAAAACCCGCAGCUCAACUGUGGGCUUGCAGCUGAUACGGGCGGGCUGGGAUUCGGUAGGGGAGACUGGAAUUCCUGGUGUAGCGGUGAAAUGCGCAGAUAUCAGGAGGAGCACCGGUGGCGAAGGCGGGUCUCUGGGCCGAUACUGACGCUGAGGCACGAAAGCGUGGGGAGCGAACAGG